AUUCUUUUGUGAUUCGUAAGCAUGAUUGGGUGUUCACACUCGCGGGUGAGAUGUGCCUCCUUCCAACCUUGUUACAACGUUAGCACAUUACCUGUCUGACA
This is a small nucleolar RNA of Chlorocebus sabaeus (green monkey), 101 nucleotides long. It matches the Rfam family "Small nucleolar RNA U13". The record is from Rfam. Lineage: Eukaryota; Metazoa; Chordata; Mammalia; Primates; Cercopithecidae.